UUUCGCAAUGCCCGAAAGGGUGACGAAGCGACGCCGCGUGCAGGAGGACGGCCCUCGGGUUGUAAACUGCUGUCACACGUUAAGAAUGGCUGGGUUUAAUCACAGCUUGACAAAGGCGUGAGAGGAAGUCACGGCUAACUUCGUGCCAGCAGCCGCGGUAAGACGAAGGUGGCAAGCGUUGUUCGGAAUUAUUGGGCAUAAAGCGCGCGUAGGUGGCUUGGUGUGUCAAUGGUGAAAUCCUAUGGCUCAACCAUAGAACUGCCGUUGAAACUGCCUUGCUUGAGUUCAGGAGGGGAGAGUGGAAUUCCAAGUGUAGCGGUGAAAUGCGUAGAUAUUUGGAGGAACGCCGGAGGCGAAAGCGACUCUCUGGACUGACACUGACACUGAGGCGCGAAAGCUAGGGGAGCAAACAGGAUUAGAUACCCUGGUAGUCCUAGCUGUAAACGAUGGGCACUAAGUAGAGGGGUUUUA
This 471-nucleotide ribosomal RNA is filed under the name uncultured bacterium. RNAcentral describes it as "bacterial SSU rRNA". It matches the Rfam family "Bacterial small subunit ribosomal RNA", at positions 364 to 833 of the family's 1533-position model. The record is from RNAcentral.